Monodelphis domestica (gray short-tailed opossum) is the source of this 8605-nucleotide RNA transcript. RefSeq lists it as uncharacterized. Lineage: Eukaryota; Metazoa; Chordata; Mammalia; Didelphimorphia; Didelphidae. The record is from RefSeq and is a predicted model, not a curated record.
CUGGGGGGGGGGGUUCGGGGGAGCAGGCGUGCUGGAGCAGAGCAUGGAGAAAGCAUAAGUUGCUCUCUUAAAAGGUCCUCCCUCCCUCGCUGAAGUUCAAUAGUCCUAACACUCAAGUGAUAGAAUAGGACAAAUAAAAUCCGACCCAGGAUCCUUUGCACAGGUGUGUGUAUAUUUGAAUUGGUGGGAUUAUGUAAUUAAUUUGGCAGAGCCAGACUCUUACCACCAGGAAAUUAAGAAGGAGGUGGAGUUCUCCCUCCCUUUUGAAUACUUCUUGUGUCAGAUGCCCCCAUAUGCAGCAGCAGGAAUUAUCUGUGGGAAAAAGCUAAGUGGCAAGGUGAAUGAGAUCACCAAUCCUAAGGCCAGGGCCCCAGGGCAAGUCCUCCCGAAGCCCUCAGGGGAGUCUACCUUCCAGGUCCUUGCCUAGGCCUUGCCAGUAGCUCACCUAUGCGAUUUCCCGACCCUCCCCAUCCCUCACCCACCUCCACUGCUAUUCUUAGCUUAACUUCUCACGUGCCAGGGACUUGGUCCCCAUACCCAUCAACCUUCCUUAAAGAAACAUUUGUGUAUGUGUGUGAAAAAAUUUAUUAUUUCUAUCUUAAUUACUUCAUGCCUUUUACUAAGCCACUGCAAGACACUUUCUAGUAUUCCCUUCGUGCGUGGCUACUUGUGUGUGCAUGUAGUCUGUUUUUUUAAUUCCCUGCUUUUAAGAAAAGAAUCUUUUAAGGGAAGUAAUAGAAAACUACGUCUUGGAUUCGAAAGUUUACCUGCAAAGUGCCUCCGUGUUCCAAUGCUCCCCAAGCUAAAGUCAGCCUAUCAAAAAGCACUUCUAAAAUGGAAACUAUUAAAAUCGGGAUUAUUUUUGUGCUAAACCAAACAUAAAAAUGUGGAUGAUUCCUUUUGGGUAAUUUAUGAUUAGAUUUUAGAGUGGUUCACCUCACCCAAUCUUUAUUUUAAUGAGAAGAAAACUUUUAGUUGUCACCAUUUUUCCAUUUUUCGAAUCCAUCCCUUUGAAGAAGCCAGUAAGUAUGUAUGCUGCCAAAGGGAUAGAAUAUUGCGACUCAACUCGAUACUCUUCUUUAAGCCUUUUCAAGUCUAGAAAGGCAUAUCCAUGGAGUUUCCCAAAUGUUCAUCUAUUGGGUAUAGUCUUAAUUUAAAAUUAUAGACUAUGAGAACUAAUUUAUUUUUAUAUUUUUAUAUGACUAACGAGAUGGCUGCAUUUUGAAUAAUCCCCAAGCUAUGUCCAGAAUAGAGUUGCCAUUAAAGUGAUAUAAAGGGGAAAAACUAAGGCGCAGUGAGUUACGGCACCACUUGUGACGCUAAUAGAAUAGAGGAUCUAGUUGCUGAUGCGGUAAUAUAAACGAUAGAAAAAAAUAUAUAUCCCACGUUACUUAAUUAUUUCUGAUGAAUUGGGGAUAGUUAGUCAUAGUUGUAAUGACUCAAACAAACAAACAAACAAAUAAAUAAAUAAUGAACCAACAGACAAAUAAAAAGUGACCUCUAUCGAGAUUAGUUACGAUUAUAAGGGACACUGUCAGGCAAUGCUUGGCUGGGCUUUUUUCUUUUUUUUUUUUACCUUGGUAUUUACAUGACCCCAAACUGAGACUGCAUUAAUUGUCGCACAGACUGCAGAGAUUGUCUAAAUGCAAAGUCCUGUAAGGGAUAAACAUUGAGAAGAUUGAGCGUCUGUGAAAUAAAGUGUGUGUGGUAAAAUAGUAUUUUAACUGGCUCUGGCUAACAUAUUUUUGCUAAUAUAAUUUGAUUUUUUAACUUAUCAAAAUAAACAAGAAAAACAUUUUUAAAAUGAGAGCCGGUGAUAUUAAUUCUUAAAACAAAUACUAUUUAUUUGUUGAUAAAUAGUUGAUCUCAACAGCUGAAGACCACAUAGAUUCUCUUUGAAGGAACUGGCCUCAAGUUGUAAUCAGUUGGUCCUGGGCAGACUUGACUUUGAAACACAUUUUUAAGUGAACAGGUAAAACGAGUGUGCCCGAAUCUUGUGUUGUGUUGUUGUGUUGUGGUUUCACUUCAUCUUUACAUUUAAAAACUUUAGAUGACUCUAAGAUCAACUAUUAAGUGAUGACAUUUCAGAGCCAGACUUGUUUGGUUGGACUUUUCUUGAAAUCUCAUGAAGGUACCAGUCCGGACUUGAUUUUUUGUAUGAUAGUCACUUCAAUUACUAGAAAAAAAUAAUGCUGAAGACAUGAUGAAAAAAAAAAAGCCAUGGGAACCUAGGGUUUUAUUUUGUUUGUUUGUUGUUGUUUUACUGAAAAUUGUGGAACCUACUAAAAUUGAAUCUAGUUGGAAAUAAGUUGACAGUGCAAACCUUCAGGUAACUGAAUUUAAUUAUGCUUUUCAUUUUUAAAUGAGUUUUUAAUACCUGGUGUCCUAAAGCACCAAGAACUUGGGUCCCUUCCCCAGAGAAUACAGGAGCGAUUCUUUUAUUAGAAACAAACUUUAUCUCAUGGUCUCAAAUAAAAAAGUAAUUCUAUUAAAAUUCCAAGAAAUAUACAAUAGUUUAAAUUUAAAUAAUUGUUAAACAAUCUUUAAAAGUACCCUAUUCUCGCCCCCCCCUCCACUGCAAUAUAGCUCAAAUGUUGUACAUUACAUGUCCAUCUACUGAGAAUUCAUAAAUGUUUGUAUAGUUCUCAUAGGGAACAUCCUAAUGGCAUUAAAUGAACUUGUAAAUGUAUGUGCAUGUGUGGGUAGGGGUUGGUCUGAAUUUACUGUGAGAGUAAGCUGUGGAUAUAUGCUAUGCUGUACCACGGACCCACUGUGUGCACAUUUUUAAUUCCCUACAUACAUCCUCUAUGCUCUGUCAGAGUUUAAAAUGAAUUUGUGUUUUUAAAAUAUGGACAGAAUUGAAUUAAUAGGUUAUACAAUAAUCUAAUUGUUUAGAAGGGGAACAUUUUUUUUAUGCAACCAAAAAUAAUUUUUAACAAUAGCUUUCGUUCUUUUUGAAGACCAUAAUUGAAAUGAGGAGUCAUUAGCUUCUUUUAGUUGUUAUGAAAUAAUAUUUGUCAGGUAAUUGCAUCCUAAAACUUGUCAACUUUUCAAUAAGCAAAUAUUCACAACUUUAUAUCAAUAGAUAGAUAGUUAUGUAACUUUAGAACAACCAUAAUCUUUUUACUACAGUUCACAUACACAAAUUAGUUGUUUAUUGUGUCAUAGAGUACCAUCCUUUGAAUGGAGAAGGGAGGGUUAUCAUAAUACAAGCGCCAUUGUGUACAUUAACAGACUCUUAUGGAAGGAUGUAAUUGAAAAUAUAAGGGCUUUUCUUCCCCUUAGAAGCAGGUGGAUUUUUUGUUUUGUUUCCUUUUGUUUUGGCUAACAUUUUAUUGCAUGUCAUCUAUGAUGAUAAAUGUUAGCAUCAGAAUAUUGGUGCCUAUUAACCUUCUGUAAAAACAUAAGAUCUCACCUACAGGUCAAAAAGGAAAUGCAGAAGGAAAUUAUCAUGUUUGAAGUGGUGGUUAUUGAGAAUACAUUUGUCCCUUCACUUUUAGUGUGUUAGCGCUGGGAUUUUUCGAUAGUGUACAGUAGAUAGGGUCUGGGUCCUGUCUAUACUGUGUUCGUGGCUAUGUGGCUUUCUACAGGUCAUUUAAAAAAAAACCCACACCUCCCAUAUAAUCUCUCUGAAGCUCUAUUUUAAUGUAUUUAGCAAAGAACUACAGGCCUUCAGCAUGGAAAAGCACUAUCAUUUAUUUUAACCCAGUCACUCUAACGAAGCAUCUGUUGGUCACUUUGGGCAUCCCAUCCCCAGCUGAAAUCUGGGGGAAAAAAUACUUCAUAUCUUUUGCUAGAAAAGCAAACCGAAUGCCGCCAUCCAUGGUGAAAAUGUUUUCCAUUCUCCUUCCCCGCCUUCACCCCCUGAAACUAUUUUUCUUUUUAAAAGGAAAACAAAACAGAAAGCUCUUUUUGUCCUUGGGGGGUGAGGGUGGGGUGAGGUGGGGAAGAUGUUGACAGGAAGAAAUCCAGUUGAAGUAUUCAAUAGUACUAUCAGCUUGGUGCUCACGCACCUGAACCUGCCUUAGCCUGCCUUAGCAGUGCCCUGAAUCACUGGACUUUAUUUCCCGGGUCUGUUUUCCUUAGAGACUGAAUCUAGAGGUUAUACCUUCUUUCUCUCGCUCCGAGCCUUCGAGCGCACUCCCGAAAAUACACACACACACACACACACACACACACACACACACACACACACACACACACACACACACACACCCCGCUGUGAAAACAGGGGUGUAGUAAUAACGCGAAUAAAGACGGUUCUAAAGUUAAAGAUGGGCUAGUUGUAGGAUGGACUGGGAAACCGUGCUGUCUGGAUAGAGAGCAGCCGCUAAACGCAGGGCUAAGGCUAAAGUGCAAGUAUUAGGAGUAAAAAGAGCCAGGGAUGUUGUCGUACCAGAGUUACCCCCCUGGAUUUGGUGAGAACCCACAACAGCUGCAGGAGAUCCUACAUGGCAAUGAAAGUUCCUUCUAGAUCUCUGUGUGCCCCUAUAUUUCUUCCCCAUUUUCUCUCAUUUCGCUGUCUUACACACACACACACACACACACACACACACACACACACACACACACACACUCCUAUUCCUAACGUCUGCACACUCUUGAUAAGUGUAUAGAGAAACACAGGAAGGGGGUCCGGGCUUGCACAGGCUUUUGUACUUCUCUGGCUUUGGUCAUAUUGGAACUGACGCACCGGCUCCCCCUGGAAUUCUGGAGGCGUCUCAUUCAUAUUGGGUGGGGAACAAUUUAUUCCUCUCUGUCCCAUCCCAUCCCAUCCUACUCCACCCUGCCCCUCCCAACUCUCCUCCUCCUCCAUCUUCUUCACCAUCACCAUCACUUUCUGAUUCUCCACCUCUUCCUAUUUUUCUUUCUAGCGUUCUCUCUCUCUCUCUCUCUCUCUCUCUCUCUCUCUCUCUCUCUCUCUCUCUCUCUCUCUCUCUCUCUCUCUCUCUCUCUCGUCUCCUCUCCCUCCCUUUCUUCCUCCCUCGCUCCUGCCUCCCUCCCUCCUCCUCUCUUCCCCCCCCCCCUUCCUUUUUUUUCCUCCCCUCCUUCUCUCCACUGAAUUAUCAGGCUUUGGCUCUAAAAGUCACAAGUAAUCCUCAUGUGUGUGACUGUGAGAGUGUGUAUAUGUGUCGUGAUGAGAGGCUGACGAGAGGAGGCAGGAUGGCAGACUUUUGCACACAGACGGGGAGAGGGAACUUGGAGCUCCUGGGCCACCAUUUGCAUUGGCAUCAUUUGGGAUGACACUACAAUGAAGCAUAAAAUGAAUAGACAAACAGCACAAGCAAAGACCGGGGGCAGCAGCACGCCAGCAAGACGGCAUCUUCUUCUCCCCAGCCUAGGAGCCCUGUGAAAUCGAGGAUCUUCCCCCCUAAAACACACACACAAGAUAUUUGCAAUCAAGCUGCCUCCAUUUGGUAAAAGCUCACGGUGCAUAAUCCAAAAGGAUCAGGAGCAGAUCCUUGAAUCAGCUUGUCACUUCUUCUAUAAAAUGGGAUUUUUUUUUUUGGCCUCUUUACACUGCGCUGGAAAUUGUCGAUGGCUUUAUACAUCUCUAUAGAGGGAGGCUAAAGAGUCUUUCCUGAGAACGAAGCAAUUUACAAUGCAAAUAGAGGCCUGUGAAGGGAUGGAUGCUUCUCACUUUUAACAGCCUGAUGCACCCUAAUAGCUGGUUUUAUUUUCUGAUAUUAAUAGAUGAAUUGUUGAUUCUCGCUGCCGGAAAUUACUUGCUGAAAGAAAAAAAAAAGUUCGGAAUAAACUUUGAAGGCAACAGAUCUCCUUUGGAUGUGUAUUAGCUGCACACACACCCCAACCCCAAAACAGGUCACAGUUGCAAGAAAGGAUGCUUCUUUCAAAGCACUCUCUAGUAUUCUUGGAGGAAGCAACUCGUCUGAUUGUCUGAAGGAACCUGGGAGUCUGGAUUCUAGCAAGAGCCAAGUCCUGUGAGGGAAGUGAGUUGUUAUCUUUGGUUAUCUAGCUGUAUGAGUGUAUUGGUCUUCAUAAAGCUAGAUAACCGAAAGUAAAAACUCCUUCAAGAUCUUCGAGGAGCGUGUGAAAAUGAAAGAGCACUUCAAGAAACAGUAAAAACAAGAAAGGUCAGGAAUACUUAUUGAAUCUAACGUUUUUACGGCUAAAGGUGGGAUUAGAGGAAGUUAAAUGACACAAGUAGACCAAAAUAUGAAGUUGUCAGAUGCCUCGGGAUGAGUUGUUAAAAGCUAAAAACAAAUUUGUAGUUCUUAUGGGUAAACAAUGCAUGUCCAACUUUUACUGUUCUACGACAAAAGUUCUAUUUUAAGGGCUGGUCUUGGUUUUGUUUUGUUUUUGUUUUGUUUUAUUUUUUCCUAGAAAGAUGUGUAGAGGCUGUUGAGUAUCUAUUUAAAGAAUGACUUUAUGCAGUUAAAUGACUUAUACAGUAUAAGAUGCCCCCACCCACCCAAACCCUCCCCCGCAAAAGCACAAUUUGGAAAAUUUGUCUGGAAAUCUCUAAAACUGCAUUGGGGUUACAUUUCAAGUGACAUGAAAUCAGGCUUGCCAAAAAAAAAAAGUUUACACGGGUUUAGGGAAGGUUAAUAAUUUAUAUCUACUGAGGACUUGGUGAAGCUGCAGAAAAUGAGAGGAGGAAAAAAAGAGGGAUGGCUGAUUUUUAUUCUUCUAUUCAAAAUGCAAGGACAGAUGCUUCUCUGUUCCAAGAGGGUUUCCUUGAGGAAGCUACUGAAGCAGAAAGACAUGAUGGAGACGAGAUCGCCUCCCCCCUUGUCAAAGUGUUAAAAAAUGUUCUGUGUCUUACUCUGCGCCUAGCAUUGGAAAUGAAAGUGACAUUUACGCCAAAACCCACGUGUGCGCCUCCUCUUUUUUUGUUUAAGGAUGAUCAGAUCUAUCCAGGAAACAGCUCUGGCAUCCCAAACUGAAAUAAUUAGGACGUAUAUAGACCUGACAAAAAUGGAAAGGGGGUGGGGAAUCUGAGGGUCUGUCUUGCCUAAUUGAUUCCGCUAAACGGAAUGCAGGAGAUGUGAACGGCUGGACGCUCCUAUUCCCACGCUCGGGGGCAAGUGGUAAUGCCGCGCCCCGGCAGCCUAUGACAGACAGCCCUGUUGGGGGGUGGGGGUAUGAAAAAAACAUCAAGUGCACCACACCAUACUCAUCUCCAUCGCUUAAGAAAGUAGAGGCAUUUCCCACCCACAGCCAUCUGCAGGCUCCCAAGUGGGAACACCAACUGUUCUCUCGCUGCUGCAUACUGUCUGUUUCUGUUAAUUCUAUAACCACUGUUUAAUCUGCCCAUAAUUAAGUUUGGCUUUUCUUCUGGAGUUGAGAUUUCCAAUAUUUAGGAUAAAGAAAAAAAAAACCGAGCAUAAAGUAAUUCCAAGAAGUCUCCUUAUUUGUAAUAAGUCUGACUGCUCUUUGUGUCAAAUUGGCAGGUAUCAGAUUUUGGCCUUCCAAAGCAAGUUCGGGUUCUGGAAGGGGGAUUUGGGAGAGGGGAUGGGGGUGGGGGUGGGGGAAGAGGUUGUUGGUGUUGUUUUUAAUCCCUGUACAAAACAUUUAUCAUUCUACCUGCUAGAGAGUGGCUACCCCGACAAAUGUUGAGGCAGCAGCACUGUUCACAAAUGUAGAAGCUUUAUCUGAGUAUGCCACGACACAUACCCUAGAAUAAAACUGCAAAGUGUUCAACAUUACAGGAAGCAGAUUACAAUAACUCAAGGAUCAAAGGCUGUUUUGACAACCCACACUUAUAUGCAUUUCCAAUAAAGAGCCAUUUUCUUUAGUCUAAGAAUUACUAUUCUUAGAGGAGAACUUUGGAGGCUUCUUGGAGGCUUGUGUCGCUAGUGUAUCUUUAAACACUUAUGUUUGUCCACAAAUCAUGUAGUAAAUACAUAAACCUGCAUAUGUGCUUAAAUACAUAUACACAAACCAUGUACAUAUGCAGGGAGAAAAAUCAUGACCAAAAUGGCGUGUUGCCUCCCAAAUGGGCCUACAUGACUUUCAGUUCAAAAUGCAGCCUCCCCCCCCCAAAAAAAAAAUAAAUAUAUUUUUUUUUUCUUAGGAGACAUUUUCCUUGGUAGUUUUAGCUCCUGGCAAUAUUUAGGCCUCUAGGAGUAUUCUAUUUUCAGUUAGCACUAUGGCAGACUUUAUUUACAUAAAUUCCCACUUUGGCUGCAAUACACGUGCCAAACUUUUACUACUGUAGUGACCGAGGAGAAGACCCUUGUUUAUUUACAUUUGAAGCUCUGUUUGUGCAAACAACCUUUCAUUGUUAAGUGCCUGUAUGCCUUUCAUUUACUUCAUGUCCAGGGGUGCUAUUUACCUAGAGCCAUUGUCUACUACAAUUAACAUUUACAUUACAAAGUGUGUGGUUUUCUUUCUCAAGGAGGUUCAAUUAAGGCAAUAAGAUGUUUGCUGGGGAAACCUAUUGUUUACUGAAAGCACUCAAUGGAGUCAAAUUACUUAAGCUUUUGCUUGCGUCUUGGUCUUUUAUGUAAAUGUGUUAAAUAUAACAUCUAAGGAAAAUAAACAAUAUUAUAAUUAUGUGUUUGCCAUUGUCAUAUCAAACUUGCUUUGUACCAUACUAAUGUUACAUGACUAUCAAUCAAUAAAAUACAUUUCAAUGUUA